CAGCAGCCACGGUAAUACAGAGGAUGCAAGCGUUAUCCGGAAUGAUUGGGCGUAAAACGUCUGUAGGUGGCUUUUCAGGUCCGCCGUCAAAUCCCAGGGCUCAACCCUGGACAGGCGGUGGAAACUACCAAGCUGGAGUACGGUAGGGGCAGAGGGAAUUUCCAGUGGAGCGGUGAAAUGCGUUGAGAUCGAAAAGAACACCAACAGCGAAAGCACUCUGCUGGGACGACACUGACACUAAGAGACGAAAGCUAGGGGAGCAAAUGGGAUUAGAGACCCGCGUAGUCCCUGUCUCUUAUAA
RNAcentral lists this ribosomal RNA (301 nucleotides) under uncultured bacterium. RNAcentral's name for it is "partial 16S ribosomal RNA". It matches the Rfam family "Bacterial small subunit ribosomal RNA", at positions 509 to 809 of the family's 1533-position model. The record is from RNAcentral.